ACUUCAUAACGUGAGUUCUUUGUCCCGCUUCUGACUUGUACUC
Molecule: small RNA, 43 nt
Filed under: Arabidopsis thaliana (thale cress)
Lineage: Eukaryota; Viridiplantae; Streptophyta; Magnoliopsida; Brassicales; Brassicaceae
Description: ATSL048130
Source: RNAcentral